GAUGAACGCUAGCGAUAGGCUUAACACAUGCAAGUCGAGGGGCAGCAUGGUCUUAGCUUGCUAAGACUGAUGGCGACCGGCGCACGGGUGCGUAACGCGUAUGCAACUUGCCUCACAGAGGGGGAUAACCCGUCGAAAGACGGACUAAUACCGCGUACACUCCACUUUGGGCAUCCAAGGAGGAGGAAAUGAACUUCGCUGUGAGAUAGGCAUGCGUCCCAUUAGCUUGUUGGUGAGGUAACGGCUCACCAAGGCGACGAUGGGUAGGGGAACUGAGAGGUUGAACCCCCACACUGGUACUGAGACACGGACCAGACUCCUACGGGAGGCAGCAGUGAGGAAUAUUGGUCAAUGGGCGAGAGCCUGAACCAGCCAAGUCGCGUGAAGGAUGACUGUCUUAUGGAUUGUAAACUUCUUUUAUACGGGAAUAACAAGAGCCACGUGUGGCUCCCUGCAUGUACCGUAUGAAUAAGCAUCGGCUAACUCCGUGCCAGCAGCCGCGGUAAUACGGAGGAUGCGAGCGUUAUCCGGAUUUAUUGGGUUUAAAGGGUGCGUAGGCGGCCUGUUAAGUCAGCGGUGAAAUCUAGGAGCUUAACUCCUAAAUUGCCAUUGAAACUGGCGGGCUUGAGUGUAGAUGAGGUAGGCGGAAUGCGUGGUGUAGCGGUGGAAUGCAUAGAUAUCACGCAGAACUCCAAUUGCGAAGGCAGCUUACUAAGGUACAACUGACGCUGAAGCACGAAAGCGUGGGUAUCAAACAGG
This 759-nucleotide ribosomal RNA is filed under the name uncultured Porphyromonas sp. RNAcentral describes it as "bacterial SSU rRNA". It matches the Rfam family "Bacterial small subunit ribosomal RNA", at positions 28 to 776 of the family's 1533-position model. The record is from RNAcentral. Lineage: Bacteria; Pseudomonadati; Bacteroidota; Bacteroidia; Bacteroidales; Porphyromonadaceae.